RNAcentral lists this ribosomal RNA (468 nucleotides) under uncultured bacterium. RNAcentral describes it as "partial 16S ribosomal RNA". It matches the Rfam family "Bacterial small subunit ribosomal RNA", at positions 28 to 507 of the family's 1533-position model. The record is from RNAcentral.
GACGAACGCUGGCGGCGUGCUUAACACAUGCAAGUCGAACGGAAAGGCCCUGCUUUUGUGGGGUGCUCGAGUGGCGAACGGGUGAGUAACACGUGAGUAACCUGCCCUUGACUUUGGGAUAACUUCAGGAAACUGGGGCUAAUACCGGAUAGGAGCUCCUGCUGCAUGGUGGGGGUUGGAAAGUUUCGGCGGUUGGGGAUGGACUCGCGGCUUAUCAGCUUGUUGGUGGGGUAGUGGCUUACCAAGGCUUUGACGGGUAGCCGGCCUGAGAGGGUGACCGGCAAACGUGGGACUGAGAUACGGCACAGACUACUACGGGAGGCAGAAGUGGGGAAUAUUGCACAAUGGGCGGAAGCCUGAUGCAGCAACGCCGCGUGCGGGAUGACGGCCUUCGGGUUGUAAACCGCUUUCGCCUGUGACGAAGCGUGAGUGACGGUAAUGGGUAAAGAAGCACCGGCUAACUACGUG